GACGAACGCNGGCGGCGUGCCUAAUACAUGCAAGUAGAACGCACAGUUUAUACCGUAGCUUGCUACACCAUAGACUGUGAGUUGCGAACGGGUGAGUAACGCGUAGGUAACCUGCCUGGUAGCGGGGGAUAACUAUUGGAAACGAUAGCUAAUACCGCAUAAUAUUAAUUAUUGCAUGAUAAUUGAUUGAAAGGUGCAAUUGCACCACUACCAGAUGGACCUGCGUUGUAUUAGCUAGUAGGUGAGGUAACGGCUCACCUAGGCGACGAUACAUAGCCGACCUGAGAGGGUGAUCGGCCACACUGGGACUGAGACACGGCCCAGACUCCUACGGGAGGCAGCAGUAGGGAAUCUUCGGCAAUGGACGAAAGUCUGACCGAGCAACGCCGCGUGAGUGAAGAAGGUUUUCGGAUCGUAAAGCU
This 422-nucleotide ribosomal RNA is filed under the name uncultured bacterium. Its description in RNAcentral is "bacterial SSU rRNA". It matches the Rfam family "Bacterial small subunit ribosomal RNA", at positions 28 to 432 of the family's 1533-position model. The record is from RNAcentral.